UAGGUUAUCCGUGUUGCCUUCGCUGUACUCGUGACGAAUCAUACACGGUUGGCCUAUU
RNAcentral lists this microRNA precursor (58 nucleotides) under Oryctolagus cuniculus (rabbit). The record is from RNAcentral. Lineage: Eukaryota; Metazoa; Chordata; Mammalia; Lagomorpha; Leporidae.